Molecule: ribosomal RNA, 424 nt
Filed under: uncultured Thomasclavelia sp.
Lineage: Bacteria; Bacillati; Bacillota; Erysipelotrichia; Erysipelotrichales; Coprobacillaceae
Description: bacterial SSU rRNA
Rfam family: Bacterial small subunit ribosomal RNA
Source: RNAcentral
CCUACGGGAGGCAGCAGUGGGGAAUAUUGGGCAAUGGACGCAAGUCUGACCCAGCAACGCCGCGUGAAGGAAGAAGGCUUUCGGGUUGUAAACUUCUUUUGUCAGGGAAGAGUAGAAGACGGUACCUGACGAAUAAGCCACGGCUAACUACGUGCCAGCAGCCGCGGUAAUACGUAGGUGGCAAGCGUUGUCCGGAUUUACUGGGUGUAAAGGGCGUGCAGCCGGGCCGGCAAGUCAGAUGUGAAAUCUGGAGGCUUAACCUCCAAACUGCAUUUGAAACUGUAGGUCUUGAGUACCGGAGAGGUUAUCGGAAUUCCUUGUGUAGCGGUGAAAUGCGUAGAUAUAAGGAAGAACACCAGUGGCGAAGGCGGAUAACUGGACGGCAACUGACGGUGAGGCGCGAAAGCGUGGGGAGCAAACAGGA